AAGACCUUGCGCUUUUGGAGCGGCCGAUGCCUGAUUAGCUAGUUGGUGGGGUAAUGGCCUACCAAAGCUUCGAUCAGUAGCUGGUCUGAGAGGACGGCCAGCCACACUGGGACUGAGACACGGCCCAGACUCCUACGGGAGGCAGCAGUGGGGAAUUUUGGACAAUGGGCGCAAGCCUGAUCCAGCCAUGCCGCGUGAGUGAAGAAAGCCUUCGGGUUGUAAAGCUCUUUCAGCCGGGAAGAAAAGGUUGCGAUUAAUAAUCGCAAUUUAUGACGGUACCGGAAGAAGAAGCACCGGCUAACUACGUGCCAGCAGCCGCGGUAAUACGUAGGGUGCGAGCGUUAAUCGGAAUUACUGGGCGUAAAGGGUGCGCAGGCGGUUUUGUAAGUCAGAUGUGAAAUCCCCGGGCUUAACCUGGGAACU
RNAcentral lists this ribosomal RNA (423 nucleotides) under uncultured bacterium. RNAcentral's name for it is "bacterial SSU rRNA". It matches the Rfam family "Bacterial small subunit ribosomal RNA", at positions 207 to 622 of the family's 1533-position model. The record is from RNAcentral.